AUUGAACGCUGGCGGCAGGCCUAACACAUGCAAGUCGAGCGGAUGAGAGGAGCUUGCUCCUUGAUUUAGCGGCGGACGGGUGAGUAAUGCCUAGGAAUCUGCCUAGUGGUGGGGGACAACGUUCCGAAAGGAACGCUAACACCGCAUACGUCCUACGGGAGAAAGCGGGGGAUCUUCGGACCUCGCGCCAUUAGAUGAGCCUAGGUCGGAUUAGCUAGUUGGUGAGGUAAAGGCUCACCAAGGCGACGAUCCGUAACUGGUCUGAGAGGAUGAUCAGUCACACUGGAACUGAGACACGGUCCAGACUCCUACGGGAGGCAGCAGUGGGGAAUAUUGGACAAUGGGCGAAAGCCUGAUCCAGCCAUGCCGCGUGUGUGAAGAAGGUCUUCGGAUUGUAAAGCACUUUAAGUUGGGUAGGAAGGGUAUUCACCUAAUACGUGAGUAUUUUGACGUUACCGACAGAAUAAGCACCGGCUAACUUCGUGCCAGCAGCCGAC
This 497-nucleotide ribosomal RNA is filed under the name uncultured bacterium. RNAcentral's name for it is "bacterial SSU rRNA". It matches the Rfam family "Bacterial small subunit ribosomal RNA", at positions 30 to 518 of the family's 1533-position model. The record is from RNAcentral.